CAUGCAAGUCGAGGGGCAGCAUCAUCAAAGCUUGCUUUGAUGGAUGGCGACCGGCGCACGGGUGAGUAACACGUAUCCAACCUGCCGACAACACUGGGAUAGCCUUUCGAAAGAAAGAUUAAUACCGGAUGGCAUAAUUAUUCCGCAUGGGAUAAUUAUUAAAGAAUUUCGGUUGUCGAUGGGGAUGCGUUCCAUUAGGCAGUUGGCGGGGUAACGGCCCACCAAACCUACGAUGGAUAGGGGUUCUGAGAGGAAGGUCCCCCACAUUGGAACUGAGACACGGUCCAAACUCCUACGGGAGGCGGCAGUGAGGAAUAUUGGUCAAUGGACGAGAGUCUGAACCAGCCAAGUAGCGUGAAGGAUGACUGCCCUAUGGGUUGUAAACUUCUUUUAUACGGGAAUAAAGUGAGCCACGUGUGGCUUUUUGUAUGUACCGUAUGAAUAAGGAUCGGCUAACUCCGUGCCAGCAGCCGCGGUAAUACGGAGGAUCCGAGCGUUAUCCGGAUUUAUUGGGUUUAAAGGGAGCGUAGGCGGGUUGUUAAGUCAGUUGUGAAAGUUUGCGGCUCAACCGUAAAAUUGCAGUUGAUACUGGCGACCUUGAGUGCAACAGAGGUAGGCGGAAUUCGUGGUGUAGCGGUGAAAUGCUUAGAUAUCACGAAGAACUCCGAUUGCGAAGGCAGCUUACUGGAUUGUAACUGACGCUGAUGCUCGAAAGUGUGGGUAUCAAACAGGAUUAGAUACCCUGGUAGUCCACACAGUAAACGAUGAAUACUCGCUGUUG
RNAcentral lists this ribosomal RNA (781 nucleotides) under uncultured bacterium. RNAcentral's name for it is "bacterial SSU rRNA". It matches the Rfam family "Bacterial small subunit ribosomal RNA", at positions 54 to 825 of the family's 1533-position model. The record is from RNAcentral.